RNAcentral lists this ribosomal RNA (916 nucleotides) under uncultured archaeon. Its description in RNAcentral is "bacterial SSU rRNA". It matches the Rfam family "Archaeal small subunit ribosomal RNA", at positions 529 to 1447 of the family's 1478-position model. The record is from RNAcentral.
UCUAGUAAAUGCCUGGGUAAAUCGUGCCGCUUAACGGUACGAAUUCCGGGUAGACUGCUAGACUUGAGAUCGGGAGAGGUUAGAGGUACUCCUUGGGUAGAGGUGAAAUUCUGUAAUCCUAGGGGGACCACCUGUGGCGAAAGCGUCUAAACCAGAACGAGUCUGACGGUGAGGGACGAAGCCCUGGGUCACAAACCGGAUUAGAUACCCGGGUAGUCCAGGGUGUAAACGCUGCUUGCUUGAUGUUAGUUGGGCUACGAGCCCAACUAGUGUCGGAGAGAAGUUGUUAAGCAAGCUGCCUGGGAAAUACGGUCGCAAGGCUGAAACUUAAAGGAAUUGGCGGGGGAGCACAGCAACGGGUGGAGCGUGCGGUUUAAUUGGAUUCAACGCCGGAAAGCUCACCGGAGGCGACGGUUACAUGAGGGCCAGGCUGAUGACCUUGCCUAAUUUUCCGAGAAGUGGUGCAUGGCCGCCGUCAGUUCGUACCGUAAGGCGUUCUGUUAAGUCAGACAACGAACGAGACCCUCACCAUUAGUUGCAAUUUAUUCCCCAGGGAAUGGAGCACUCUAAUGGGACCGCUGGCGCUAAGUCAGAGGAAGGCGAGGGCAACGGUAGGUCAGUAUGCCCUGAAUCCUUCGGGCUACACGCGCGCUACAAAGGCUAGGACAAUGGGCUUCGACACCGAAAGGUGAAGGCAAUCCUGAAACCUAGUCGUAGUUCGGAUUGAGGAUUGAAACUCAUCCUCAUGAAGCUGGAAUCCGUAGUAAUCGCGGGUCAACAUCCCGCGGUGAAUAUGCCCCUGCUCCUUGCACACACCGCCCGUCAAACCAUGCGAGUUGGGUUUAAGUGAGGAUGUAGUAUUUUGCUGCGUUCAAACUUAGGCUUAGCAAGCGGGGUUAAGUCGUAACAAGGUAAC